This 253-nucleotide ribosomal RNA is filed under the name uncultured bacterium. RNAcentral's name for it is "partial 16S ribosomal RNA". It matches the Rfam family "Archaeal small subunit ribosomal RNA", at positions 474 to 727 of the family's 1478-position model. The record is from RNAcentral.
UACCAGCACCCCGAGUGGUCGGGACGUUUAUUGGGCCUAAAGCAUCCGUAGCCGGUUCUACAAGUCUUCCGUUAAAUCCAUCUGCUCAACAGAUGGGCUGCGGAAGAUACUAUGGAGCUAGGAGGCGGGAGAGGCAAGCGGUACUCGAUGGGUAGGGGUAAAAUCCGUUGAUCCAUUGAAGACCACCAGUGGCGAAGGCGGCUUGCCAGAACGCGCUCGACGGUGAGGGAUGAAAGCUGGGGGAGCAAACCGG